RNAcentral lists this ribosomal RNA (492 nucleotides) under uncultured bacterium. RNAcentral's name for it is "partial 16S ribosomal RNA". It matches the Rfam family "Bacterial small subunit ribosomal RNA", at positions 27 to 506 of the family's 1533-position model. The record is from RNAcentral.
GAGUGAACGCUGGCGGUAGGCCUACCCCAUGCAAGUCGAACGGCAGCACAGUAAGAGCUUGCUCUUACGGGUGGCGAGUGGCGGACGGGUGAGGAAUACAUCGGAAUCUACUUUUUCGUGGGGGAUAACGUAGGGAAACUUACGCUAAUACCGCAUACGACCUACGGGUGAAAGCAGGGGAUCUUCGGACCUUGCGCGAUUGAAUGAGCCGAUGUCGGAUUAGCUAGUUGGCGGGGUAAAGGCCCACCAAGGCGACGAUCCGUAGCUGGUCUGAGAGGAUGAUCAGCCACAAUGGAACUGAGACACGGUCCAGACUCCUACGGGAGGCAGCAGUGGGGAAUAUUGGACAAUGGGAGCAAGCCUGAUCCAGCCAUACCGCGUGGGUGAAGAAGGCCUUCGGGUUGUAAAGCCCUUUUGUUGGGAAAGAAAAGCAGCAGGUUAAUACCCCGCUGUUCUGACGGUACCCAAAGAAUAAGCACCGGCUAACUUCGU